UGUCCCCCAGGACCUCUCGCCCCGCCCCGCACGGGCCCCCGCCCGCGUGACGGGGCCUCCUGGGGGUUCGGGGCCAAAGCUGCUUUGUAUUCCCGAAGGGGCCAGGCACCGCACGCCGCCGGCCUCUUCCCUCCCCAGCCUGCUGAUGCGGGCGUUCGGGGUCCCCCUGCCCGCUCCGCUGCCUCUCGAAGCCCCCGAGGUGCUGUCCCCCCUAGAGACGGGCGGCCCUGACCCUCAGCCAGCGUGCACCCCGCGAGGCUUCUGCGAGCUUCCCCGGCCCCGCCUGCCCUGGCCCAGCUCGGCUGUUGUGUGCCAAGCUCCGGGUUGCUGAGUGGGAGGAAAGAACCCGGGGCCACGCUGGUGCACAGGCGAAGUGCUGCUCACACGUGCGCGUUCGCGUCACACAACGAGGGCACCCGCACUUUCGAGGCUCAUCCAUCCAGGAAAAACUCACCGGCGCCCUCUAUGUGCCGGGCACAGUGCUGGGGCCUAGGAACGCCAAGGUGACCCCAAGGUCACGGCUCCCUCCCAGCGGAAUUCACAUCUUAGGGGCCUCGGACGCCAGAGAGGUGGGUGACUCAAAGCUUGGAGGCGCCUUUUUAAGGAAAAAUGAGGCACAGUCCUUCCAAACCUCACACAGAACCCAUCGCACCCUCCGGACAACCCAGGAAGCAGGAGCUGUUUUCUCACGUUUUUUUUUAAAGGAAGCCUAGGACAAAGAGAGGGCCCCACAGACGCUGUCAGUUUGCUGCCUGUUUGAAUUAGCCACUCCACACUGGAUGGUGUGACUGCACCACAGCCUUCGAGAAGACUGAGCAAGAACACACCGCAGCACCUCUUCACGGGCAUUUUCUCUCUCCUCCACAUUCACCUCAAGAAGACUUUUUCAUACCACUUCUUCCAUAUGCUUUUUCAUGGAAUCUGGUCUCUACUGGCCACAUUUUUGAGGGUAAACAAGACAAUAUGUUGUGAGAUGGUUUGUGAAGAAAUAAUCGUGUAGGGUUAGACACUUCCAUGCAAUAGAUGAGGAGCAAUUUGCUGCUUUUAUUUCCAUUACCUUUACUUGUGGCAUUCAUGGUGCAGAGAUGAUAGAGGGUGGUAGCCUGCGCCAGGUGAGGAAAUAAAAAGGGGCUCAAGUAUAAGCAAACAGGAGUGGAAUGAGACGGCAGUGAAAAUUAUGACCAUAAGGACAAAGUGAAAAGGGGUGAGUCAAUCUAGUUGGGUUUAGAAACAAAAGGGGGAAUAUUUCAAGUCUUCACUAAACUCAGUUGAGGUGGUACAGAAAAGAAUGCACACAUAGAAGAAAAGUCCUAGAGUUAUGAGUCUGCUUGGAAUGCACCUAGAUUAAAACUAUGAUUUCAGAGACGGAAAGCAUAAUGGAAAGGAAUUUCAAAAGAACACUGAGCAGUACGUGAGAUGUCACUGAGUGGAGAUAAUACUACCCUGACAGUAGUGAGUCAAAACUUAUCCCAAGUUUCCUUGCUUUAAAACAGUGACUUCCAACUUUUGGAAUGCAUUAGAAUUGCCUGGAGGGUGAGAUGCCGCCGCCGCCGCCGCUGCUGCUCCUGGUCCAAGGACCACCAUUCUAGAAAAUCACUUCGUGGGUAGAGAAACUUGGCUCUAACGGGACAGUUGAAGACGACACCAAGUUGUUAAGCUUCAAGUCUAUCAAAACAUCAUGAAAUAUACAAUUUUCAGCUACAUAUUGAAAUCAGCAGAGUUCUUUCAAAUAAGAGCUUUGUGCUUUUCUAACAAACUUCAGAUAAUAUGCUAAAUUUCCAAAUUGAGCUAUUUGAAUUUUGGAAUUACCUCUGUUGUCAGAGGUAAAAGUCUGGUAUUUUAAAAAGUUGCUUCCUGUCUUGAGAAACUAUGAACUCUUAAAAUAAGUUUCCCAUGGGAAGGGCUCCAGAGGGAAGAACAGAAGCCAUUGUCUUCCCUCUGUCAGAUGAAAUGGUCGUGCGUCUGAAUGCUAAAUAAAUGAACAAAUAAAGAGUAAGUGCAUAGAUGAGAGCACCCUUCAGAUCUACAAAGGCAAAGCAAUUUAAAACAAUGUGCACAUCACAAUGGUAAUAGCAGAAUUUAAUAACAUGUAUUAAUCAUAUAAACAGGGAAACUCUGUUCCUCCAAGGCCUGUAGUCCAUAGUUUUGUAAUGAGCUUUGAUCCACCUAAGUCUCUAUAUAUUUAUGCAUAUAUAUUUCAUGUAUAAUUUUUGGAACCUAGAACUAUGCUGUCUAAACUAGUGAUUCCCACAUAGCAAGCAUCAGAAUCACAUGGAGAGAUUAAUAAUAAAACACAGACUUGGGAGCCCACCCCCUGGGUAUCUGAUUCACUAGAUCUGGAUUGGGUUCAAGAAUCUCUUUUGAACAAGUUCUCAGGUGAUGCUGAUGUGCUUGUUUGAGAACGUGCUUUAGGAAUUGCUGGUCUACUUCUGUGGUUCGCAGCUUGGCCAAAUACUAGAAUUAUCUGGGGAGGUUUUUUAAAAUGUUAGGUCAAGUCUCAAAGUCAUAAUCUCCAGAAAUUUUAAAGGUUCUCUGAUGAUUUCAAUAUUCGGCCAAAGCUGAAGAGUUCGAAAACUUUAGCACCUCCCAUAAUCACCUGAGACCUUACUGAAACACUGGUGGUGGCCACUGUCCUGGGAUUCCUAAGUCUGUAAGUCUGGGUUGAGCACAAAAGUGUGCAUGCCAGUCCAGUUCCCAGGAGGCACUAUUGGUCUAGGAACUAUACUCUGAGAACCACUGGGUAAAGCCAGUCUCAACGCUGGCUGAACUUGGAAUCUCUUGGGGAUGUGGUAGAAAAUACAGGAGUUAGCUCCUCCUCAACCCUUCCUUGCCCCUCAAAAAACACCCUAGGAAUUAAAACUUAAUUAGUUUGCGUUGCAGUCUGGCAAAAGUGAGCUUCUGAAGUUUGGGUCUCAGUCACUUUCUCAUCGAGUGGACAAAAUAACUAACACACCCACCUGCCCAGCCCCCAGCUUAGGUGGAAGGUGCAGGCCAUGGUUGGCUCCAAGGCAAAACCAGCUUGUUAGAAGGGCCUGGAGGGAGGACAGCUGCUGUCCCCCGGCAGCCAGGAAGCAGAGAGAGAAGGUCGGAGCGGAAUGGGAUACUCACCCAUCCAGGUCACACCAGCGACCUGCUCCUUCCAACCAGGCCCCACCUUCUAACGGCUCUGAACGCUUCGGAUGGUGAAUCCACGGAUGAGCAUAGUGCCCCGACACUCCGACGGCCUUCCAAAGGCCCAGCCUCUGAAAACCUGAGUCUUUGGGGGGAUGUUCUAGAGCUACACUGUAACAGCCUCCCAGAAGCCUGAGGAUCACCGAGAAACCAAGCAAGGUGAAAAGGCAUGGACGCAUCAUGUGCAAAGCUGGCUCUUCGCGUGAGUUGAACAUGACCUCUUCCAAUCAGAAUGUAUUUUAAUCAUUAUAUGCAGCAGAUACCUUUGUUGAAGAAAAAUACUACAUUGAAAUAAAUGUAAGAUUAUGACAGUUCUUUUUUAAUUUGAGAAAUAACUAGGUUACUCCAGGAGGGGAUUCUCUCCUCCCCUUUCAUUGCUAUAAAUACACAUUUUUAAACUAUAACAUGGUAACCCACCCCUUUGGCGAUCUGUAGCUAGUCGUGUAAACAGAAAUGUUAUAACUGUUAUUAUAAAAGCAGUGUCUAUAAAUGAGAAUUUAUGCUUACAUCUAAAUAAACUUGAAACCUGAUCAAGCA
Molecule: long non-coding RNA, 3708 nt
Organism: Chinchilla lanigera (long-tailed chinchilla)
Lineage: Eukaryota; Metazoa; Chordata; Mammalia; Rodentia; Chinchillidae
Exons: 3
Source: RefSeq, a predicted model, not a curated record